GAUGGACGCUGGCGGCGUGCCUAAUACAUGCAAGUCGAGCGAACAGAUGAGGAGCUUGCUCCUCUGACGUUAGCGGCGGACGGGUGAGUAACACGUGGAUAACCUACCUAUAAGACUGGGAUAACUUCGGGAAACCGGAGCUAAUACCGGAUAAUAUAUUGAACCGCAUGGUUCAAUAGUGAAAGACGGUUUUGCUGUCACUUAUAGAUGGAUCCGCGCCGCAUUAGCUAGUUGGUAAGGUAACGGCUUACCAAGGCAACGAUGCGUAGCCGACCUGAGAGGGUGAUCGGCCACACUGGAACUGAGACACGGUCCAGACUCCUACGGGAGGCAGCAGUAGGGAAUCUUCCGCAAUGGGCGAAAGCCUGACGGAGCAACGCCGCGUGAGUGAUGAAGGUCCUCGGAUCGUAAAACUCUGUUAUUAGGGAAGAACAAAUGUGUAAGUAACUAUGCACGUCUUGACGGUACCUAAUCAGAAAGCCACGGCUAACUACGUG
Molecule: ribosomal RNA, 497 nt
Filed under: uncultured bacterium
Lineage: Bacteria
Description: partial 16S ribosomal RNA
Rfam family: Bacterial small subunit ribosomal RNA
Source: RNAcentral